AUGUACCACCCGUACAGUGCGGUUGCUCCGCGCCGUCCGCACCCACCUGGCGACUGCUCGCUACGUUUUGUCAGCC
Molecule: small RNA, 76 nt
Filed under: Xanthomonas fragariae
Lineage: Bacteria; Pseudomonadati; Pseudomonadota; Gammaproteobacteria; Lysobacterales; Lysobacteraceae
Description: sX9 sRNA
Rfam family: Xanthomonas sRNA sX9
Source: RNAcentral